CAUGGGAGUUGGGGGGACCUGAAGUUCGGGGUAACAACCGGACAAGGGUAAACCCGGCGACUGGGGCUAAGUCGUAACAAGGUAGCCGUACCGGAAGGUGCGGCUGGAACAUCUCCUUUCUGGAGCCAUU
Molecule: ribosomal RNA, 130 nt
Filed under: Fibrisoma montanum
Lineage: Bacteria; Pseudomonadati; Bacteroidota; Cytophagia; Cytophagales; Spirosomataceae
Description: Fibrisoma sp. HYT19 partial 16S ribosomal RNA
Rfam family: Bacterial small subunit ribosomal RNA
Source: RNAcentral